RNAcentral lists this ribosomal RNA (465 nucleotides) under uncultured bacterium. Its description in RNAcentral is "partial 16S ribosomal RNA". It matches the Rfam family "Bacterial small subunit ribosomal RNA", at positions 338 to 795 of the family's 1533-position model. The record is from RNAcentral.
CCUACGGGUGGCAGCAGUGGGGAAUAUUGCGCAAUGGGCGAAAGCCUGACGCAGCGACGCCGCGUGAGGGAUGAAGGUCUUCGGAUCGUUAACCUCUGUCAGCAGGGAAGAACGGUCACUGUGCUAAUCAGCAGUGAAUUGACGGUACCUGCAAAGGAAGCACCGGCUAACUCCGUGCCAGCAGACGCGGUAAUACGGAGGGUGCUAGCGUUAAUCGGAAUUACUGGGCGUAAAGCGCUCGUAGGCGGUAUGUCAAGGCAAGGGUGAAAUCCCCGCGCUCAACGUGGGAACUGCCUGUGAAACUGGCAAACUGGAGUGUGUGAGAGGAUAGUGGAAUUCCAGGUGUAGGAGUGAAAUGCGUAGAUAUCUGGCGGAACAUCAGUGGCGAAGGCGACUAUCUGGCACAUAACUGACGCUGAGGAGCGAAAGCGUGGGUAGCAAACAGGAUUAGAUACCCGAGUAGUC